Molecule: long non-coding RNA, 857 nt
Filed under: Homo sapiens (human)
Lineage: Eukaryota; Metazoa; Chordata; Mammalia; Primates; Hominidae
Description: progenitor renewal associated non-coding RNA
Source: RNAcentral
GUCACCGUCACCUCCUGAGUAGUCAAAAGCAAGAAAUAGGAAGAAACACAAGCAUACUAUAAAAUAAAAGAGAUGAAAUAAAGAAGAAAAAGAAAGUGUUUGAGAAUAGCUUAACAAUUAAAAGCAACUUAAAAGACAUGAACAUAGCGAAAUGACCCAGUGAGUCCAACAUAGUGCUCUAGGGAUGCUGAAGUGACCAAUCAAUGAUGAGGAAGAUGACAAGUACAUACAUAUCACAUGCUGUCCUCACCUGUGAGACGGUAUCUAAAAUAUCAACAAGAAUACUUCCUGUGGGAAGUAUUUUAAUAGGAGGAUAAAAAGGAGCCUGUGAUUUCAGAAAACGAUGUUCCUAUAUCCAAGGAAAAUACUCUCCCAGGAAAAACACAGCAGACUUUCCAGGUUCAAGAUGUCGUUCCAGAUUCCAGAUUCAAGAAGCCAUUAUAUUAAUGCAAAUUUAACUUGAUGAAAAAAAUUUCAUGCUGUGUCUAUGAAAUGUGAGUAGAAAUCAUUACAGUGGCUGGGCGCGGUGGCUCACGCCUGUAAUCCCAGCACUUUGGGAAGCCGAGGCUGUUGGAUCACCUGAAGUUGGGAGUUCGCGACCAGCCUGACCAACAUGGAGAAACCCCAUCUGUACUAAAGAUACAAAAUUAGCUGGGCGUGGUGGCAUAUGCCUGUAAUCCCAGCUACUUGGGAGGCUGAGACAGGAGAAUCGCUUGAACCCGGAAGGCGGAGGUUGUGGUAAGCCGAGAUUGUGCCAUUGCACUCCAGCCUGGGCAACAAGAGCAAAACUCCAUCUCAAAAAAAAAAAAAAAGAAAGAAAUCAUUACAGUAACAUUAAUAAAAGUAAGAUGACAAAA